Long non-coding RNA from Aethalodelphis obliquidens (Pacific white-sided dolphin), 829 nucleotides. RefSeq lists it as uncharacterized. The transcript has 4 exons. The record is from RefSeq and is a predicted model, not a curated record. NCBI's taxonomy places the organism in Eukaryota, Metazoa, Chordata, Mammalia, Artiodactyla, Delphinidae.
UGUUUUCCUUUCCCUCCUUUGCACAGACAUGGAUCCCUGAUAAAUAUUCUGCAGGCCGAACUCCUACAGUUAUCAGCAUCUGCAUCUGGAGAAUGCAACCUGUGGAAAUUUGUGCCAGGAGAGGUCCAAAAAAGCAGUUGAGGAAACUGAGGACCCAAAGACAUAAAGUGACCUGCUGGUGAUCUGACCUAGAGUAAGGGGUAGGCAACUGCUCCAGUUUAUAAGACUCCAGUUUAUAAGAGGUGCCCGAACAUCUCUGGGUACCAAAACACUGCAGGAAAUUUAACAAGCUUCCUAAGGAGUCUGGAAUGGACAAACAAAGGGCUUUUGUUUUGUGGAAUGGAGUAAGCAAAUUUGGCUCACAGCUGGAUUGCCCUGGAAAAUAAAGAUGAGGAAACGAAAGUCCAGAGAGGACACAGCAUAUGUAAAGACUUGUAAGUGAGAAAUAGCAUAGUAUAUGCAAUCUACUUAUGAGCAAUCUCUGGUGCUGAAGCAAAGGUAAGAAACGAUAAAGGGUGAGAAGUGAGGUUGAAGAAGUAAGAAACUUAAACUUGAUUUUAAAAGCUCUGGGAUCUACCCAAGAGAAAUGAAAACAUAUGUUCACAUGAAGACUUGUAUGAAAAAUUUUUAGCAGGAGUUUUAGCACCCAAACUGGAAACAAUCCAAAUGUCUAUCAACUAGUGAAUAAAUAAACAAAAUAUGGUACAUCCAUGGAAUACUACCGAGCAACAAAAAGUAAAGAACUACUAAUAUUUACAAUAUUAUGAAAGAAUCUCAAAAACAUCAUGCUACAUGAAAGAAGCUAUAUUAGUUUGCUAGGGCUGCCAUA